CUCCUCUCACAGUCACACCUGAAGAGUUUCCAGUACUCUACCAGUUUGGGGUAUGGGAGGGAAAGUCAAGCAGAGGCCUAUCCAUUCCAUUCUUAGCUUGGGUAGUGGCUAGAGAGCGGAAGGCAAUCUGCUACAAGU
This is a small nucleolar RNA of Ornithorhynchus anatinus (platypus), 138 nucleotides long. Lineage: Eukaryota; Metazoa; Chordata; Mammalia; Monotremata; Ornithorhynchidae. The record is from RefSeq and is a predicted model, not a curated record.